AUACUCACUUUGGCAGCACAUAUACGAAAACUGGAACAAUACAGAGGAGAUUAGCAUGGUCCCUGUGAAAGGAUGACACGUAAAUUCAUGAAGCAUUUCAUAUUUUU
This is a small nuclear RNA of Nannospalax galili (Upper Galilee mountains blind mole rat), 107 nucleotides long. The record is from Ensembl. NCBI's taxonomy places the organism in Eukaryota, Metazoa, Chordata, Mammalia, Rodentia, Spalacidae.